CCUGAAUGCCUUUGUGACCUUCACCUUGGCACAAGCUGGAACAUGGAUGGAGGUGCGGAAGGGAAUGCUAAGUUCCUGUUUAAAGUAGUCUUGCAAGUGCACUUCCCAGCAGAUUUUAGGACCAUGUUUUGCAAUGCUGUUCCGGAAUGCAGAUGUCCUGACUGCUCCGCUGAUCAUGGGUGUCUUUUACUUUCUCCCCUCAACUUUAUUCUCCUCUAGAAUGUAAUGUCUACUGGAAGUUAAAGAGCUAAAGGCAAAAAAAAAAAAAAAAGCAGAAGUGGUGUUUUAGAAUGACUAUUUAACAAGCAUCCCAGUAUGUAAUCACUUCCAGGGAUCGGUGUACGUGAGAUACGACAGCUGAAGGAAUGAUCAGCUUCUGAGAUUCCUUUGGUAGCUCAGUAACUGUGU
This is a long non-coding RNA of Rhea pennata, 408 nucleotides long. RefSeq lists it as uncharacterized. The transcript has 3 exons. Lineage: Eukaryota; Metazoa; Chordata; Aves; Rheiformes; Rheidae. The record is from RefSeq and is a predicted model, not a curated record.